ACUUAGUUAUACAACUGGCGGAAGUGGAAUUAACCACAUGGAGUAUAAUGGUAAGAGUCGACCGUCUGGGCAAUAGUC
RNAcentral lists this non-coding RNA (78 nucleotides) under Candidatus Stoquefichus. RNAcentral describes it as "ZTP sequence". It matches the Rfam family "ZMP/ZTP riboswitch aptamer (pfl RNA motif)". Rfam says of the family: Previously known as pfl RNA. The record is from RNAcentral. RNAcentral also lists the same sequence under 1 other name. Lineage: Bacteria; Bacillati; Bacillota; Erysipelotrichia; Erysipelotrichales; Erysipelotrichaceae.